Long non-coding RNA from Harmonia axyridis, 1093 nucleotides. RefSeq lists it as uncharacterized. The record is from RefSeq and is a predicted model, not a curated record. NCBI's taxonomy places the organism in Eukaryota, Metazoa, Arthropoda, Insecta, Coleoptera, Coccinellidae. The transcript has 2 exons.
CAUCCUCGUAGUAGCACAGAUUACUAACCACAGAUUACUGUCUGUGGUAGUAGAUUCGCUUUUUCAAAAGAUGGUCACACUACUCACACUGCUUCCAGUUCUUUCUUCAGUUCACAGAUCCACACAUAGAACAAAAAUGGGUGGAACAACAACCCAACAUGUUUACAGUUCAUGAGAACUUUUGAAAGGCUUUUGCUACAGUUUUCCAAAGGAUGACAAAUUAAGGGAAAUGUAGAUGAAAGCUGUAGGAAGAAUUGAUUUCCACCCUUCUUCCUCGUUGAAAAUAUGCAGUAUGGAUUAAACAUACCAUCAUGCGGUUUUACGAAGAUCUGCAGAGGAAUUGAGAUAGCCAUAAAAAACUUUGAGUGUGACGGAUAAUAGAGUUCCUGCUGAAAACAAAUUUCUUAAUGCUUUUAUCACUGCCAAUGCUUAACAUUAUUACCCACUGAUGACUAAUUUAUUUCCUGAAUUAGAUGACCAUUUUUAUGAAUCAUCCCCUGUGGGUGUUAAUAAUGGAUUUCUAUUGAUCAAGGAGAUAGUAAAAGCCUAUUUCAAAACUAGGGUUUUCAAUCUUGCGAAAAAAUGUACUCAAAAAUACAAGGUCAAUCUGUUCGACAGCAGCUUACAAAAUUUAUUUUAUUUAAUCACCAAUAAUGUAUAUUAGGUAUAUUUCCCAUUCCUGCAUGAUGAAUUUGUCAAUUUUAAGUUCAGAGUCUCAAUUCAGAAAAACUAAUUUUUAAUAUUAUAUUUUCCAUUCACCACUGAUUUCAGGAUAAAUUUCUCCAGUUGAAAUUCUUAUUGUAAACUUCUCGAAUGUUUAAAUUGUCAAGAAUUAUUUUGUAUAGUAUUUUAGGCUUAAUUGCCACUAGUUACCAAUUGCACUUGUGGAUCAGAAAUAAAGACUUCAUAAUAUCAAUGACUUGCAGAACAUUGAUUAAUUUUCUAUUGUACAGUUUUUACUAUAUCAAAUAUAUAUUCUUUAUUUGUUAUAAAUUUCAUUGAAUAAUUCCAUUCAAGCUUAAACACUAGGUUUUACGCAAUAUACUCAUUAUCUCUAUGUUCGUGGAGGAGUAAAAUAUAAUUUUGAUACUAA